Molecule: long non-coding RNA, 842 nt
Organism: Cavia porcellus (domestic guinea pig)
Lineage: Eukaryota; Metazoa; Chordata; Mammalia; Rodentia; Caviidae
Exons: 4
Source: RefSeq, a predicted model, not a curated record
GGCUCAGAAUGACAUUCCUGUCAUAACCCUUUUUUCUGCUUUCACUCACCAACCCUGCACUUGGGCACAGGGCCAGCAUUGUGAUGGGAAGGACAUUUUUUAGUUGUAUUUCCGCCCUGAUAUAAUACCUAGUGCAUAGAAGAAGCUCAAUAAAUCAUCUAAGCCAACAGCGUACAUUCAUUCACUUAGUCAAAUGUUUACCAAAUCUAUGAUGCUAUUAUGUCUCCAUUCCCCAGUGCAAGCCACACCCUGUGACCAAGCUCCCUUCCUUGUUCUCUGGUCAUUCUACCUGCAGCCUCCUUCUCAUCUCUGGGACCUGACCAAGGGCAAGAGAUUCUGGACUGAGCCUUCCUGUCCCCUUUACCCUCACAGGACAGGCAUUGAGUAAGAAGCUUAGUAAAUGAGGAUUGACAAAAUUUAAAAUUACUUCAAAAUUGGGACCUGUCACAAGACCAGAAGUAAGCCUUCUAUUUUCUCAUAAUAUUAAGUUCUGGAAGAACUCUUUCCUGUCUUUGUGAGGUGUGAUCAAAACUAUAGUGAACACUGCUGCCAAGUGCCAUCCUACAGAAAGACAGGCUCAUAAAAACAUCACAGUGUGUUACAUCUACCUUACUCACCAGAUCUGACACCACGCAACUUUUGGCUCUUCCCCGAAGUCAAACUGACCAUGAAAGAUCACUAGUGUUGUCUUUUGUACCCAGAAUGUUUUUGGCUCCCUUCUGUGGAGGAUGAGAAAGUACCUUUAUACUCCACAAUAAUGCACGUGUCCAUCUCAGGAUGAACGCCAUCCAUCAAGAUCAUGAAACGAAGAUUUUUGUCUACCUGGAAUUCAGUAAGAAAAG